GUUUCUCCAAGAAACUGACUCCACCCUCUCAGAACCUUCUCUAGACUUCUGAUCCUCCUUCUUUAGGACCCUCACACCCUUGUUAGGACUAGAUAAGGCUUUGUCUUAAAUCCCAAAGUCUUGUUCUAAAACUAAGAUAGGUUGUAAGAAAGAAAAGUGAGCAAUGGAGACAAAAUUAGAAACUCUUUCUGAAUGCCCUAGACACCCAGUGCCCUGGCCAAUUUAUAGCC
Molecule: long non-coding RNA, 230 nt
Filed under: Elaeis guineensis (African oil palm)
Lineage: Eukaryota; Viridiplantae; Streptophyta; Magnoliopsida; Arecales; Arecaceae
Description: long non-coding RNA (EGUI_LNC048865)
Source: RNAcentral